This 202-nucleotide long non-coding RNA is filed under the name Nicotiana benthamiana. Its description in RNAcentral is "long non-coding RNA (NBEN_LNC025098)". Lineage: Eukaryota; Viridiplantae; Streptophyta; Magnoliopsida; Solanales; Solanaceae. The record is from RNAcentral.
UUAGGGGUGUGCAUUCGAAUCGGUUUAUCGAUAAAUCAAAUCGAUUAUUUUCUUAUCGGUUUAUCGAUAUCGGUUUAUCGGUUUAUCGAUUCGAUUUCGAUUUCAAAAAUUUUCCUUAUCGGUUUAUCGAUUCGAUUUCGAUUUUGGCCAUUCGGUUUAUCGGUUUAUCGAUAAAUCGAUAAGAUAAAUUAAAAAGACAAAU